This 496-nucleotide ribosomal RNA is filed under the name uncultured bacterium. RNAcentral's name for it is "partial 16S ribosomal RNA". It matches the Rfam family "Bacterial small subunit ribosomal RNA", at positions 28 to 506 of the family's 1533-position model. The record is from RNAcentral.
GAUGAACGCUGGCGGCGUGCCUAAUACAUGCAAGUCGAGCGAACGGACGAGAAGCUUGCUUCUCUGAUGUUAGCGGCGGACGGGUGAGUAACACGUGGAUAACCUACCUAUAAGACUGGGAUAACUUCGGGAAACCGGAGCUAAUACCGGAUAAUAUUUUGAACCGCAUGGUUCAAAAGUGAAAGACGGUCUUGCUGUCACUUAUAGAUGGAUCCGCGCUGCAUUAGCUAGUUGGUAAGGUAACGGCUUACCAAGGCAACGAUGCAUAGCCGACCUGAGAGGGUGAUCGGCCACACUGGAACUGAGACACGGUCCAGACUCCUACGGGAGGCAGCAGUAGGGAAUCUUCCGCAAUGGGCGAAAGCCUGACGGAGCAACGCCGCGUGAGUGAUGAAGGUCUGCGGAUCGUAAAACUCUGUUAUUAGGGAAGAACAUAUGUGUAAGUAACCGUGCACAUCUUGACGGUACCUAAUCAGAAAGCCACGGCUAACUACGU